UUUGCAUUUCUGUGCUAUACUGCAAGUCGAGCGGACAGAUGGGAGCUUGCUCCCUGAUGUUAGCGGCGGACGGGUGAGUAACACGUGGGUAACCUGCCUGUAAGACUGGGAUAACUCCGGGAAACCGGGGCUAAUACCGGAUGGUUGUUUGAACCGCAUGGUUCAAACAUAAAAGGUGGCUUCGGCUACCACUUACAGAUGGACCCGCGGCGCAUUAGCUAGUUGGUGAGGUAACGGCUCACCAAGGCAACGAUGCGUAGCCGACCUGAGAGGGUGAUCGGCCACACUGGGACUGAGACACGGCCCAGACUCCUACGGGAGGCAGCAGUAGGGAAUCUUCCGCAAUGGACGAAAGUCUGACGGAGCAACGCCGCGUGAGUGAUGAAGGUUUUCGGAUCGUAAAGCUCUGUUGUUAGGGAAGAACAAGUACCGUUCGAAUAGGGCGGUACCUUGACGGUACCUAACCAGAAAGCCACGGCUAACUACGUGCCAGCAGCCGCGGUAAUACGUAGGUGGCAAGCGUUGUCCGGAAUUAUUGGGCGUAAAGGGCUCGCAGGCGGUUUCUUAAGUCUGAUGUGAAAGCCCCCGGCUCACCCGGGGAGGGUCAUUGGAAACUGGGGAACUUGAGUGCAGAAGAGGAGAGUGGAAUUCCACGUGUAGCGGUGAAAUGCGUAGAGAUGUGGAGGAACACCAGUGGCGAAGGCGACUCUCUGGUCUGUAACUGACGCUGAGGAGCGAAAGCGUGGGGAGCGAACAGGAUUAGAUACCCUGUAGUCCACGCCGUAACGAUGAGUGCUAAGUGUUAGGGGGUUUCCGCCCCUUAGUGCUGCAGCUAACGCAUUAAGCACUCCGCCUGGGGAGUACGGUCGCAGACUGAAACUCAAGGAUUGACGGGGGCCCGCACAGCGUGAGCAUGUGUUUAUCGAAGCACGCGAGACCUUACCAGGUCUUGACAUCUCUGACAUCCUAGAAGAUAGGACGUCCCCUUCGGGGGCA
Molecule: ribosomal RNA, 996 nt
Filed under: Bacillus subtilis
Lineage: Bacteria; Bacillati; Bacillota; Bacilli; Caryophanales; Bacillaceae
Description: bacterial SSU rRNA
Rfam family: Bacterial small subunit ribosomal RNA
Source: RNAcentral